GAAGGACACAAAGUUGGAUGAGAAGAGAUUGUGGAGGAUGUUUGAAGAGUAUUGAAACAAGACUAAAUAUUUGUUUUUAAAAAUUCAGAAGAUUCAUUUCAUCUGACACAAACUAGCAAUGAAACUCACAUAAAACAAGAGUAACAACAAGAAUAGUGCCAAUCAAAAUAAACUGAUGAUCUGGAGUCAUGUUACAUUUAAAUCUCAGCUUCAUGAUUCCCAAGACCCAGGAGUAUGUCAUCUUCAUCUGAUGAUACAAGCCAACGAAGACCCAUCUGACAACAAUCCCUGGAUGCUCCCAAAAGUGAAUUGGGCCAUACCUCUUGACCUGCCCUGGAUCCAACUUACUCUGCUUCAACUGACACUCUGACCAGAGCCUCGAGUA
Cricetulus griseus (Chinese hamster) is the source of this 385-nucleotide non-coding RNA. The record is from RefSeq and is a predicted model, not a curated record. Lineage: Eukaryota; Metazoa; Chordata; Mammalia; Rodentia; Cricetidae.